This is a long non-coding RNA of Anthonomus grandis grandis, 5355 nucleotides long. RefSeq lists it as uncharacterized. NCBI's taxonomy places the organism in Eukaryota, Metazoa, Arthropoda, Insecta, Coleoptera, Curculionidae. The transcript has 4 exons. The record is from RefSeq and is a predicted model, not a curated record.
GUAAUACCUUUCAAGUUGGUCAAAUUUUAACUUUUAUGUUUAUUUUUACUUUUAUUUGUCUGUAUAAAUCCACCUUUUGUUAAUUUAUUUGCUAUUAUAUGGAAGUGCAUUUAAGACAAUAAAAAAAUGAAGGGGCAUGACAGGGCAAAUACGUGUGUGCAGUGCAGCAAAAAAUACAGUAACAUUAGCAAUCUAAGAAAGCAUGUCAUCAAGUUUCAUCAUCAGUAAUGAUGAUUAUCUAGCUUACCUGCAAAUACGACAAAAUAAACAUUAUAAUUUUGCUUGUGACCAGUGUAAAAAACGUUUUACGCAUUUCAGAUUUCAGAAUUUAAAAUUCCGCAUCAGAACACAUAGAAGCUCAAAUAACACUUUAGCUCCAGAUAUUACACACCCCAAUACCUCGACCACUACCAAUGCAAAUCAGUGUGCUUUGUGCAGUGACUUUUAUGCUGAUAGGAAGACCGUUAUAGAACAUUAUAGAGACUUUCAUAACAUUCCUAUUGAACAUAAAAAAUUGACGUUUUAAAGUGAGGAAGAAUUUAUUACUUGGAAGCUUACCUUUGAAAAUGACACAAACUGUAAAUACGUGGUUAACUAUCAGAAAUGUUUUGAAUCACAUGUAGCUGCAAGUUUUAUAUGCCAUCGUUUAGGAAGAUAUGUUCCAGAAGGCAGAAAUAUUCGGCACUUAAAGAUACUAGGAAGUAAGAAAAAAAAUGCACUCUGCCCAGCAAGCAUAAAAAUAAAAAAGCUUAAUAAUAGCACUUGAAAAGUGACCAUUAUGGACAAACAUGUGGGACAUCAGAAUGACAUCGGCCACUUGAAUUUGUCUAAAAUAGAAAGAAAUAAUUUAGCAUUAAAAAUUUCUUCUAAAGUCCCAUUUGAAGAUAUUUUAGACGAAAUUAGAGAUUCAAUCACUGACUCAGAACUAAAACAUCUGCAUCUGCUCACAAAGAAAGAUCUAUAUAGCAUAGAAGCCUGUUUCAAUUUGUGCUCCUCAUCAGUUAGAUAUAAAAACGACAUCAUAAGUGUAAAGUCCUGGAUCAAUGAUAUGCAAAGUAAUGGAGAUGCAGUUCUGUUUUAUAAGCCCUAAGGUUCUGAAAGUGAAGAAUGGCCAAUGCUAAAAAUUGAGGAUUUUGUUUUGAUUAUCAUGACUGCUGCACAAUGUGAAAUGCUUAAAAUUUAUGAGACCGAUUUCAUCUGUAUAGAUGGAACUCAUGGGAUGAAUAACUAUGACUUCGAACUUAUAACUCUCCUUGUUGCUGAUGAUAUUCGUCAGGGAUUUCCUUGCAGUUUUCUUAUGUCAAAUAGGUCUGAUAAAUAAGUUUUAAAAAUAUUUUUUCACAUUGUAAAAUCUCGCCUUGGUACUGCACUUUGCCCAAAUGUCUUUAUGUCAGAUAUGGCAGAAGCUUUCUUCAAUGCAUGGAUUGAAAUAAUGUCUCCACCAAAAUUCAGAUUAUAAUGUUCAUGGCACGUUGACCAGGUGUGGCGUAAGAAUUUAUCAAAAAUCAAACACCAAAGAAAAGCAAGUUUUUAUUUAUAAGAAUUUAAGAGCUGUCUUAGAAGAAAGGGAUGUCACAACUUUUAAUAUUUUAAUUAACAAGUUAUAUACUAUGUUACUUGAAGACCCUGAUACAAUGGAAUUUGCCAACUAUUUUAAUAAGUAUUACAUGUGCUGUGUAGAAUGUUGGGCACACUUCCACCGACUUGGUGCGGGUUUAAAUACAAACAUGCACUUAGAACGUAUGCACAAAACACGAAAAUAUACUUAUUUAAAAGGGAAGAAAGUCAAGCGAUUGGACAAGGCAAUCAACGCAAUAAUGCAAUUUGUAAGAGACAAAUGCAUUGACAGGUUAAUAGUUCUUAACAAGGGGAAGCUGUCCAGUAAGCUGCAAAUAAUUCGGUCCAGGCACAAACAAUGUUUAAAAUUGAGGGAAGAUUUAGUAUACGAGUGUAAAAAUGGAUGGAACAUUGCCUCAGAAACAACAGCAGAAUUAUAUGUUAUCCAGAAGGUUCAACGAGAUUGUAAAUGCCAACUACUGUGCAAUGAAUGUAAAACUUGCAUCCAUCAGUUUUGCUGUUCUUGUCUUGACUCGUCAGUUAAAUACAACAUGUGCAAACAUAUUCAUCUUCUGAUCAGAUAUAUUUCUCAAUAUGUAACUGACUCACUGGAGCAUCCUCAAGAACUUGCGACGCCGAUGGACUUUUUACGAUGAUCGAAACAGGAUUUGCUGGUAGAAACAGUGAUGGCGGCAUAUUUAGAGCUGGUCGAAUGAAACAAUGGAUACAAACGAAUGGAAACAUUCCUCCAGCUUCACGCUUACCUCACGAUCCACAGGAAAAUUAUUUUCCUUUUUACCGCGUUGCAGACGAAGCAUUUCCGCUUUUAAAAAAUGUAAUGAGACCCACAACGUUCCUUAGACAACAAAAAACGCAUUUUUAAUUAUAGAUUAAGUCAUGGUAGGAAAACCGUUAAAUGUGCAUUCGGCAUGGCGCAACACCCACUCAAAGACAAGGCCGUAGUGCUUGGCGCGUGACGUCAUCGAUGUGGGCCACCGAUUUUUAAAAACCAAGGGAUUUCAUAUGCUAAUAUCUCAAUAUUUGGCUUAUUUUAAAAAAUGCUAGGAAUAGAAUAGAGUUCAGGAAACAUUCAAAGGUAUGUUUUAGUUCUGGUUGAAUGUCAGGUUAAAUAUUAUGGUGUAAUAUUAAAUGCAGACUCCCAACUCCCCUACAUCUGCGCCAAAAUUCAACAUACAUAUUUAGGUAUUUUUUUAUUUUUUUUAUACCAUUAAGUAGUAAAAAAUGUUAUUAUAUACACAUAAAUACAUAUAUUGACUUUAAAAGCUUAAAAAGCUUAGGUAUACUCCAGUUCAUGUAAUUUUUUAAUUGCAGAAAAAGAAGCACAUUUUUUCUUCGAGGUGUCAAAAUCAGAAAAAUAAAAUUUUUGGUCGGGUUUAGAGUUAAGCCAAUUAUUAAAUACACAUUUAAGUAAGUGAACUGUGUCAAAUAGGUAAAAUAAUGGUCUCUGAUUAUCUAUGGGAUGAGGAUAAACAAUGCUAAGUUGGACUGCAGUUGAAAAAUGACUAAUGGAAUUAUUAUCACACUAUUAAAAAACUAUGUACCCAAUCUCCUCUAAAUUUUCAAUAAUUGUCUUAAUAAAAUUAUAAAGUAUGUCUGAUGUAAUUUUGGAGAUGGGAGCUAUGUGAACUACUUCCUUAAAGCUGGAACACACACUUGUAAUCAUAAAAGUAAAUGAUGAGGAAGUUAGAGACUUAUUAUUGACUGAUAUUCCAGUGAUAUUACCGCCUUUAUAGUCCAUGUAAGGGUCAAUAUGAAUUUCAUCAAAAAGUAGUGCCACAAAUCUCCCAUGAUCCUUUAGUAAACUAAACACAUUUCGGGCAUAAGUUAAAAACAUUUUUUUUCAUCUAUGUGGGGAUCGGUCAUGUGUUUGUUACAAAUACCCAUUAUAGUUUGAGGAUGUGGUAAAAUUAGGGAUCCAUAAUCUCUUAAAUACUUGUAUGCAUGAGGACUAAUAGUAUAGAUUAUAGAAGUCAAAAUUAUUGUACUACUUAAAUAUCUGUACCUUUCCUUUGCAAUUGUAAGCAAAGCUAAUUGUUCACAAAUAAAAUCUAAAGAAUGCACUAUUUUGUUGUCUUCAAUGUUUUUAAAACUUUUUAGUAUGUUUGACACAAAAUCGAACACAUGUUUCAUUUUAUUUAUGUGUUUUAAUGGUUUGGCAUGAUCGAGAAUAGUAUUGCCAAGGGUAUUGGUAGCAGUCUCGGUAGCAGUAUUUGUAGGUGGCAGAUUUAAGUCACAGUCGGGGUUGUCAUUAUUGGUAACAUUUUCCUCCAAAGGCAGGGUAAUAAUAGUAAGGUCUAUUGCUUCAAGUAUUGCAUAUAAAUCAUCUAAACUAUGGGAAGUAUAUGGAGUUUUAAAUUUUGAUGUUGCACAAACUGGCUCGCUAUAUAAAAAAGUUUCAAAAGUUUCAGUCAUGGUUUUAGUAAUGUAAUUCUAUUGUAAAAAUUUUACCUGUGUUGGAAUCUUGAACUUAAUAUGUAUAAUAAAACGUAUAAUAAAGUACUUUUUAUUAUACUACCUUCAGAAAAAUGAGCUUCACAUACUUUGGUGUUUUUUGUGGGCUCAAAGUCUUUUACCCAUUUUCCCCUUAGAUUUAGGUAUAUCCUUAGGAAAACCGAAGACAUGCACUUUAGAUCCGUUUUUAUAGUUUCCGUUACAGCCCGGAACACAACACUUUUGAGGCAUAUUUACACUCUGGUAUAAACUACAAGCCGAACUAGGAGAAAAACAUGAAAUUAAACACGAACUUAAGUAUUAAAGUCUGAUAUAAACAAAUAAAACCGCGACCGAGAACCGGUUUUUCCGAGGAUCUUUCUAGUCCGAAAUUACGAUUUUGCGAUUUAAAAGUAUGCGAAGAGUUUACAUAAAUAUAACAUACACGUUUCGCGGAAAUAAACAGUUCCGAUUUUAGAAAAAAACACAAAAAUGGGCUAAUAUUUACUGCGGAUCUCGUCAGAAAUCCCGGCAACCACAGAACAUAAAUAUAAACAACCUAACCUCUCGUUUCAUCAGGUCGCACAACUAGUAGAUGCGCCAUUGUCAGAUUUAUAUAGAAAGAACUCCUAUUGGCAAGUAACAAGGUAUUAGAUAAAUGAUAAAAUUUGAAAAAAUGGAAGUUUAAAUUAUAAAAAGAGAAGUAAGGAUGCACUCUUUUUUUUAACUAAAUUGUAAAGUAAGAGCAGUUAAAGAUAUAGAUUUAAUUAUUUUAAGAUAGUAAUAGAUCAUCCUAACGUUCACGACAAUCUGCAAAGUUUGGCAGCGUUGCAGGCAGCCUUCCGUGGACGAACACCGGCAGCGUCAACAGCUGAAUUCACGCGAAAAUCAACCCGAAGUGCAUGGCCCAAACGUGUGACGUCACGAGCAAAAUUUUUUGGAGCGCUUUGUCCUUUUGUAGAGGUGUUAUUGCAUGGCGUCGCAAAAAUGUCAAGUAUUAGAUACUCCUAUACGGUGUCUCAAACUACAGACAGUCAUUUAUAUAAUAAAAUGUGUAUGUAUUCUCCACAAUUUUAUUCGAAGGCAUAUUCCAUACGCAUGGAAUGUGCAAGAGGAACAAGAUAACCUAAAUGUUGUCAUAAUUCAACAAAUGCAGCAAGAAAAUGCACUGUUUGAUAUCGAUAAUCGUUCAACAGCAUAUAAUUUAAGAGAUUAUUUAGCGAAUUACUUUUUGACCCCGCGCGCCUAACUUCCAUGGCAAUGGAAAUUUAUAACUUAAAAAUCAAAAUUUCCUAAUAUUUGAUAUUUGUUACCUAUUUUGACAAAAAUAAAACUUAUUUUCGUUAA